GAACGAGAAAGUGGAGCAAUCCAUGAGUAAAGUGGCGACCGGGUGAGUAACACGUGACUAACUUGCCCUCGAGUGGGGGAUAACCUCGGGAAACCGGGGCUAAUACCGCAUAACAUCUUCGGGAUGAGAAGCCGAAGAUCAAAGGAGCAAUUCGCUUGAGGAGAGGGUCGCGGCUGAUUAGCUAGUUGGUGGGGUAACGGCCCACCAAGGCGGUGAUCGGUAGCCGGCCUGAGAGGGCGCACGGCCACACUGGAACUGAAACACGGUCCAGACUCCUACGGGAGGCAGCAGUGGGGAAUUUUGCGCAAUGGGGGAAACCCUGACGCAGCAACGCCGCGUGGAGGAUGAAGCCCUUUGGGGCGUAAACUCCUUUCGACCGGGACGAUAAUGACGGUACCGGUGGAAGAAGCACCGGCUAACUCUGUG
RNAcentral lists this ribosomal RNA (426 nucleotides) under uncultured bacterium. Its description in RNAcentral is "bacterial SSU rRNA". It matches the Rfam family "Bacterial small subunit ribosomal RNA", at positions 64 to 507 of the family's 1533-position model. The record is from RNAcentral.